UCAAAUGAUACAUAAUGAAGCAUCAUUCGAUUGCAAUGCCCUUACCAUAAGAAGUUGUGCGUCUAGGAUUAGAGCAGUUUCCUGACCCACCGCGAACGAUGUCCUGUCAUCCCGCUUCAACAGAUCGAUGUAAAUAAAAACAGCUGGAUCAGAGAAAAAAAUGACCAUAUCUCUCGAUAUAUAACGACGGCAUGAGGACUGUCAUUCAGCUAAACGGGAGGAUGAAACAUCGAAGCGAGGCUUCACAGAUGAUACCUUAAUGGUCCCGGUAGACGCAGUACAGCAGACACUGAAAAAUGCCAUUGAACUGGGUGUAUCGAUGGAUUUAUGUUCAUUUAGUAUAAUAGAGAGCUACUGGAAAAAGGAG
Molecule: long non-coding RNA, 367 nt
Organism: Brienomyrus brachyistius
Lineage: Eukaryota; Metazoa; Chordata; Actinopteri; Osteoglossiformes; Mormyridae
Exons: 4
Source: RefSeq, a predicted model, not a curated record